CAAAGGUGCUGCACACAGGGCCAUGCCCAACCAGCAGGCUCUCAGAGGACUCUUGAGGUGGAAAUGAAAACAGGGUCCCACUCUGUGGCCUAAGCUGGAGUGCAGUGGCAGUAUCAGGGCCCGCUACAUCCUUGACCUCCUGGGCUCAAACAAUCUCUCAUCUCAGCCUCCCAAGUAGCUGGCACUAUAGGAAUGAGGCCAACGGCAAGAUCUGGAGAUGGAAGAAGCUCCUGAAGAUGUUGAAACCCCUGGUCCCAGCUGUUCUGUGGGCCAGCUGGAUUCCUGCCCUUCUAUAGCUGUAUUGCUCAAUCCUUUCCUGGGAUCUGGGAGAAAAUAAAUUUCAUUUUUGGCCCAAGUUAGUUCAAGUUCAGAUUCUUUUCCCCCAUAACAGUAACAAAGAGUCCUAACUGAUUCAACAUUAAAC
RNAcentral lists this long non-coding RNA (424 nucleotides) under Homo sapiens (human). RNAcentral describes it as "HSALNT0337820". The record is from RNAcentral. Lineage: Eukaryota; Metazoa; Chordata; Mammalia; Primates; Hominidae.